GAUGAAGAACGUAGCGAAAUGCGAUACGUAGUGUGAAUUGCAGAAUUCAGAGAAUCAUCGAAUCUUUGAACGCACAUUGCACCUCUCGGUAUUCCGGGAGGUAUGCCUGUUCGAGCGUCAUUUGUACCCUCAAGCUCUGCUUGGUGUUGGGUGUUUGUUCCGCCUCUGUGUGUGAACUCGCCUCAAAACAAUUGGCAGCCGGCGUACUUGUUUCGGAGCGCAGCACAUUUUGCGAUCCAGAUCAACGUACAGCGGCAUCCAAGAAGCCUUAUUUAACGCUCUUGACCUCGGAUCAGGUAGGGAUACCCGCUGAACUUAAGCAUAUCAAUAAGCGGAGGA
RNAcentral lists this unclassified non-coding RNA (339 nucleotides) under soil metagenome. Its description in RNAcentral is "partial contains 5.8S ribosomal RNA, internal transcribed spacer 2, and large subunit ribosomal RNA". The stretch from base 1 to 120 matches the Rfam family "5.8S ribosomal RNA", at positions 35 to 154 of the family's 154-position model. The record is from RNAcentral.